Long non-coding RNA from Lampris incognitus (smalleye Pacific opah), 307 nucleotides. RefSeq lists it as uncharacterized. The transcript is spliced from 3 exons. The record is from RefSeq and is a predicted model, not a curated record. Lineage: Eukaryota; Metazoa; Chordata; Actinopteri; Lampriformes; Lampridae.
GACACGAUGACACGGCGUCAAUUCGAGUUCAGUAACGCACAAACGAUUCGCUACGCCGUUGUGUCAUAGUUCUUUGUAUUGAGUCACUCCACCACAAUGGAGAAAGAGGAAGGAGCAGCAACCAGUCGUCGUCUUCUCUCCCCUCCGUUUCAUCUCAGCCGCCCUCCUCCUGGUUGGUCAUUCAGGCGUGAAUAACACCGCCGUGAAGAUCACAGUGUCAUCUGCAAACACCAUAGUCCACGGAGACUCCUGCCUGAUCUCGUCCGUCAACCUGUCCAUCACCAUUGUAAACCAGAAAAACCUUUUA